Molecule: non-coding RNA, 30 nt
Filed under: Mus musculus (house mouse)
Lineage: Eukaryota; Metazoa; Chordata; Mammalia; Rodentia; Muridae
Source: RNAcentral
UGNGCAGCGCUGCUUCAACUCCUAUGGGAC